GUCGGAUAUGGAGACAUGCACCCUGUGACAAUUGGUGGCAAAAUUGUUGGGUCAUUGUGUGCUAUUGCCGGAGUGUUGACUAUUGCUCUCCCUGUGCCAGUUAUUGUCUCCAAC
Molecule: non-coding RNA, 114 nt
Organism: Salmo salar (Atlantic salmon)
Lineage: Eukaryota; Metazoa; Chordata; Actinopteri; Salmoniformes; Salmonidae
Source: Rfam